Long non-coding RNA from Magnolia sinica, 735 nucleotides. RefSeq lists it as uncharacterized. Lineage: Eukaryota; Viridiplantae; Streptophyta; Magnoliopsida; Magnoliales; Magnoliaceae. The record is from RefSeq and is a predicted model, not a curated record. The transcript is spliced from 5 exons.
CUUUCCACUUUCAUCCCUUUGGAACCUUCAGCUAUCAAAUGUUGAGGUUAUAUUAGAAUAUGUAACAAAGCUCAAAAUGGAGGCUACAUUGGAUAGGAUAAUAGCUGUUGGAUUAAUCAAGCACAUGAAGAACUUUUGAGUUAUUUCUAAGAAGAGUAGCCAAGUGGAUGAACCAUUACAGCCUUCUUUUUGUGGAACAUUUAUGCCAUAAAACCUUAGCUUAUGAGUACGAGGUUAUUGAUGAUGAUGAUUGGUACACGGACCUCAUGUUCCCUUCCGGGACAUUGAUCAUGCCAUCAGCCUCACUUCUUCUAUAUUUCCAGGAAGAUGUGUCAGUUGUCAACCAUUGGAUUUUCAACGGGAAGAAUUUUGGGACUCGCCCUGCAUAAUGGUUGAAGAACUUGGACUCUAAUAUGGAUGAGAUGAAGAAAAUAAUGGAGUCUUCCACUGGCAGCAAGGAAGAGGCAAUGAAAAUGAUAAUCCAAUCGCGAAAUUAUUGCAUGGCCACAAGCGAGCUAUUCUUGUAUAAUGAUGAGGAAGAAUGGAUGGGUUCUCAUGUCGUCUUUAAGAAGAAAUUGUUUCGAGAGUAGUUGAAUAGGUAGUAUUACUUGGUUAAAUAAUCUGGGUGGUUUAGUUGAAUAAGCAAUUCGUUGUAUUAGAGCCAGUCCAUAUUGGGCUCAUUAGAGUCCACACGUAUUGUAGACGCUAUAAUCUUUUAUAAAUAAUAUUUUUGUA